AAAGAGAAUUGAAAACAUAGGUGCACACAGGC
Molecule: non-coding RNA, 32 nt
Filed under: Homo sapiens (human)
Lineage: Eukaryota; Metazoa; Chordata; Mammalia; Primates; Hominidae
Source: RNAcentral